UGGGGAUUAGUCUAGCGGUAGGACGACUGACUCUGGAUCAGUUAGGCCAGGUUCGAAUCCUGGAUCCCCAG
This 71-nucleotide transfer RNA is filed under the name Chloroflexota bacterium. RNAcentral's name for it is "Chloroflexi bacterium (cold seep metagenome) tRNA-Gln". It matches the Rfam family "tRNA". Rfam says of the family: Transfer RNA (tRNA) molecules are approximately 80 nucleotides in length. The record is from RNAcentral. RNAcentral also lists the same sequence under 2 other names. Lineage: Bacteria; Bacillati; Chloroflexota.